AGAAGCCAAGCUGGUACCUCAGUGGGUAGGGGUUAAAAUCACUGAUCCACUGAGACCACCAGUGGCGAAGCGCUAGCCAGACGCGCUAGACGGUGAGGGAUGAAAGCUGGGGGAGCAAACCCGGAUUAGAUACCCGGGUAGUCCCAGCUGUAAACGAUGCAGACUCGGUGAUGGGCUAGCUUUGAGCCAGCCCAGUGCCGCAGGGAAGCCGUUAAGUCUGCCGCCUGGGGAGUACGGUCGCAAGACUGAAACUUAAAGGAAUUGGCGGGGGAGCAUCACAAGGGGUGAAGCCUGCGGUUCAAUUGGAGUCAACGCCGGAAAUCUUACCGGGGGCGACAGCAGAGUGAAGGUCAAGCUGAAGACUUUACCAGACAAGCUGAGAGGAGGUGCAUGGCCGUCGCCAGCUCGUGCCGUGAGGUGUCCUGUUAAGUCAGGUAACGAGCAAGAUCCCUGCUUCUAGUUGCUACCACCGUUCUCAGGAACGGAGGGGCUAAUUAGAGGGACCGCCGCCGCUGAGGCGGAGGAAGGAGGGGGCUACGGCAGGUCAGUAUGCCCCGAAACCCUCGGGCCACACGCGGGCUGCAAUGGUAGGGACAGCGGGCUCCGAUUCCGAAAGGAGGAGGCAAUCCCUCAAACCCUACCCCAGUUAUGAUUGAGGGCUGAAACUCGCCCUCAUGAAUAUGGAAUCCAUAGUAACCGCGUGUCACUAUCGCGCGGUGAAUACGUCCCUUCUCCUUGCACUCACCCCCGUC
Molecule: ribosomal RNA, 752 nt
Filed under: uncultured Thermoprotei archaeon
Lineage: Archaea; Thermoproteati; Thermoproteota; Thermoprotei
Description: bacterial SSU rRNA
Rfam family: Archaeal small subunit ribosomal RNA
Source: RNAcentral